UUGGRCAAUGGGCGCAAGCCUGAUCCAGCCAUGCCGCGUGAGUGAUGAAGGCCUUAGGGUCGUAAAGCUCUUUCGCCAGAGAUGAUAAUGACAGUAUCUGGUAAAGAAACCCCGGCUAACUCCGUGCCAGCAGCCGCGGUAAUACGGAGGGGGUUAGCGUUGUUCGGAAUUACUGGGCGUAAAGCGUACGUAGGCGGAUUAGUCAGUCAGAGGUGAAAUCCCAGGGCUCAACCCUGGAACUGCCUUUGAUACUGCUAGUCUUGAGUUCGAGAGAGGUGAGUGGAAUUCCAAGUGUAGAGGUGAAAUUCGUAGAUAUUUGGAGGAACACCAGUGGCGAAGGCGGCUCACUGGCUCGAUACUGACGCUGAGGUACGAAAGUGUGGGGAGCAAACAGGAUUAGAUACCCUGGUAGUCCACACCGUAAACGAUGAAUGCCAGUCGUCGGGCAGUAUACUGUUCGGUGACACACCUAACGSAUUAAGCAUUCCGCCUGGGGAGUACGGUCGCAAGAUUAAAACUCA
Molecule: ribosomal RNA, 521 nt
Filed under: uncultured Alphaproteobacteria bacterium
Lineage: Bacteria; Pseudomonadati; Pseudomonadota; Alphaproteobacteria
Description: bacterial SSU rRNA
Rfam family: Bacterial small subunit ribosomal RNA
Source: RNAcentral